RNAcentral lists this ribosomal RNA (301 nucleotides) under uncultured bacterium. RNAcentral's name for it is "partial 16S ribosomal RNA". It matches the Rfam family "Bacterial small subunit ribosomal RNA", at positions 509 to 807 of the family's 1533-position model. The record is from RNAcentral.
CAGCAGCCGCGGUAAUACGAAGGGUGCAAGCGUUAAUCGGAAUUACUGGGCGUAAGGGGUGCGUAGGCGGUUAGUUAAGUCUGUCGUGAAAUCCCCGGGCUCAACCUGGGAAUGGCGAUGGAUACUGGCUGGCUAGAGUGUGUCAGAGGAUGGUGGAACUUCCGGUGUAGCGGUGAAAUGCGUAGAGAUCGGAAGGAACAUCUGUGGCGAAGGCGACUAUCUGGGCCAACACUGACACUGAGGCACGAAAGCGUGGGGAGCAAACAGGAUUAGAUACCCCGGUAGUCCCUGUCUCUUAUAC